GACAAGCGGUGGAGGCACGUGGUUUAAUUCGAUGCAACGCGAAGAACCUUAACCUGGUCUUGACAUCCCGGAGACCCUUAGGAAACUAGGGGGUGGCUUCCAUCUGGAAGAAUCUGGAGACAGGUGCUGCAUGGCUGUCGUCAGCUCGUGUCGUGAGAUGUUGGGUUAAGUCCCGCAACGAGCGCAACCCUUGCCUUUAGUUGCCAGCAGUUCGGCUGGGCACUCUAAAGGGACUGCCGGUGUUAAACCGGAGGAAGGUGGGGAUGACGUCAAGUCCUCAUGGCCUUUAUGACCAGGGCUACACACGUACUACAAUGGCCGAUACAAAGGGCAGCGACACUGCGAGGUGAAGCCAAUCCCGUAAAAUCGGUCUCAGUCCGGAUUGGAGUCUGCAACUCGACUCCAUGAAGUUGGAAUCGCUAGUAAUCGUGGAUCAGCAUGCCACGGUGAAUACGUUCCCGGGCCUU
This 467-nucleotide ribosomal RNA is filed under the name uncultured Desulfobulbus sp. RNAcentral's name for it is "bacterial SSU rRNA". It matches the Rfam family "Bacterial small subunit ribosomal RNA", at positions 924 to 1382 of the family's 1533-position model. Lineage: Bacteria; Pseudomonadati; Thermodesulfobacteriota; Desulfobulbia; Desulfobulbales; Desulfobulbaceae. The record is from RNAcentral.